GACGAACGCUGGCGGCGUGCUUAACACAUGCAAGUGGAGCGACGAACCAGGCUUCGGCCUGGGGCAAAGCCGCGAACGGGUGAGUAACACGUGGGUAACCUGCCCCGAUGACCGGGACAACCCGAGGAAACUCGGGCUAAUACCGGAUGUGCUCCCACCACAUCAGUGGUGUGAGUAAAGAUAGCUUCGGCCUUCGCAUCGGGAUGGGCCCGCGGCGCAUUAGCUUGUUGGUGAGGUAACGGCUUACCAAGGCUACGAUGCGUAGCUGGUCUGAGAG
This 277-nucleotide ribosomal RNA is filed under the name uncultured bacterium. RNAcentral's name for it is "partial 16S ribosomal RNA". It matches the Rfam family "Bacterial small subunit ribosomal RNA", at positions 28 to 298 of the family's 1533-position model. The record is from RNAcentral.